UACGUAGGAGGCGAGCGUUGUCCGGAGUUACUGGGCGUAAAGCGUGCGCAGGCGGCGCGUUAAGACAGGUGUGAAAGCCCCGAGCUUAACUUGGGAAUUGCGCUUGUGACUGGCGUGCUGGAGUGUGGCAGAGGGAGGUGGAAUUCCACGUGUAGCAGUGAAAUGCGUAGAGAUGUGGAGGAACACCGAUGGCGAAGGCAGCCUCCUGGGCCAGCACUGACGCUCAUGCACGAAAGCGUGGGGAGCAAACAGG
This 253-nucleotide ribosomal RNA is filed under the name uncultured bacterium. RNAcentral describes it as "partial 16S ribosomal RNA". It matches the Rfam family "Bacterial small subunit ribosomal RNA", at positions 524 to 776 of the family's 1533-position model. The record is from RNAcentral.